This 231-nucleotide unclassified non-coding RNA is filed under the name Hevea brasiliensis (rubber tree). The record is from RNAcentral. Lineage: Eukaryota; Viridiplantae; Streptophyta; Magnoliopsida; Malpighiales; Euphorbiaceae.
AAGAUGUUUUGUGCAAUUCAAAAGCUUGGCAAAGGGUUUUCUUGAUGUCUUCGGCGCAAGUAGUUUUGGUAUUCAAUGGAGGAUUUAUGUCUCAGUCAUGGUAAUUUAAGCUGCAUCAUGUCUGAACUUAAUCUGAGUCAUUUUGUUUCUAUCUAGUAGUAGCAGUAGCAAUAGUUUUUUGGUAUGAGUAGGAUAUUUUGGCAUAGUGUUUCUUAUUGCACUAUAUGAAUG